RNAcentral lists this long non-coding RNA (769 nucleotides) under Capsicum annuum. Its description in RNAcentral is "long non-coding RNA (CANN_LNC001564)". Lineage: Eukaryota; Viridiplantae; Streptophyta; Magnoliopsida; Solanales; Solanaceae. The record is from RNAcentral.
AUAAAAUGCCGAGCAACUCCAGGGGGAGUUAGAGGGUCUGAUAAUACCUUUCUCGAGGAGAUGGUUGAUUUCUGCUUUACAGAUUUCCAUCAUCUCGUGAUUCAUUUGGAUAGGUCUGGCUUUGGUAGGGAUGCUUUGUUCAUCGAAGCCAGGGAUAUAGGGAAGUUCGACGAGAUGUCUCUUGCGUUCCCAAAAAGCAUUGGGCAAUUCUGAGCAAAUCUCGUUUUCGAAUUUCGCAUGGAGAGAAGAGAUCUUACUCAUCAUCUCCGGGGUUUUUAAGGUGUGCUCAAUGCGUUUGAGCUGAACAUCAUUUCGUAAAAAAUGAAGAUGGGAAGAUAGACGAUUGAUUUUAAAAACAGUUUCGUCUUUGAUUCGUUGCUGCUCGUUGGAAGAGAAGUAAAGGAAAGAAUAAUUCGGUAUCUAAGAGAGUGGUACGAAUUCCAUCGUAGUUACUCUGAUAGGGCCGGAUUUGGUUGAUGAAGGGGAUUCCUAGAAUGAUAUCUUCAGUGAUAUCUUCCGUAAUAACAAAGUCAUUAACAAGGCAGACGCCAUUAUUGCAGACAUGAGCUUUGCGAAGUUGAUAAUUAAUUCGCAUUUUUUCGCCAGUGGCAGAAUAGAGGCGGGAGGUGCUCUUUUGGAGAUACCGAGUGGGUACGAGGCCUUUGACAAUACAGUUACUGUCAGCGCCGGUGUCAAAGAGAGCGACUUUGUUUAGCACGAAUUCAUUGUCAAUAACAAUAUUGACGACUAUGUGCUCGCUGUAAGAUUU